AGAGUCGGCCAGGUGGUCGCGGCACCCGGGCUAUCCGGUGUCGAGGAAAGUCCGGACUCCACAGGGCAGGGUGGUCGGUAACACCGACCCGGGGCGACCCGCGGGAAAGUGCCACAGAAAACAGACCGCCACCGCGUGCGGUGGUAAGGGUGAAACGGUGGUGUAAGAGACCACCAGCGGCCGGAGUGAUCCGGUCGGCUUGGUAAACCCCACCCGGAGCAAGGUCAAGAAGGAAGGCUUCGGCCUUUCACGCGGACGGUUGAGGGCGGCCCGCCUGAGGUCCGCGGGUAGACCGCACCGAGGUUGCCGGCAACGGCAGCCCCAGAUGGAUGGCCGCCCGGUUCCACGGAACCCGACAGGAUCCGGCUUAUCGGCCGGCUCUCUCC
RNAcentral lists this RNase P RNA (386 nucleotides) under Haloactinospora alba. RNAcentral's name for it is "Bacterial RNase P class A". It matches the Rfam family "Bacterial RNase P class A". From Rfam's summary of the family: Ribonuclease P (RNase P) is a ubiquitous endoribonuclease, found in archaea, bacteria and eukarya as well as chloroplasts and mitochondria. Lineage: Bacteria; Bacillati; Actinomycetota; Actinomycetes; Streptosporangiales; Nocardiopsidaceae. The record is from Rfam by way of RNAcentral.